CUCAACCCAAGUGUGUACCGCAGCUCAACCCAGCCGCUGGAUGCUGAUGACUGGCUCCGUGACAUCACCUAUGAGAUGGAGUCUGCUGAUGUAGCCCCUGCCAGCUAUGUCACUUUUGCUUCCUUCUUCCUGAAGGGACCCGCAGCUCAAUGGUGGGACAGCCACAGGCGUACUCUGCCAGUUGGGACAAUCAUCUCCUGGCCAGACUUUCAGGCUGCCUUCCGUGCCCGCUUCAUUCCUCAGGGAAUCAUGGACAAGAAGAAGCGUGAGUUUCGAAACCUCACCCAAGGCAACAAGACUGUUGAAGCUUAUCAGCGAGAGUUUCUGGAUUUAUCCCGCUAUGCUGAAGAAGACAUUGCAACUGAUGCUCGCAGACAGGAGAAGUUCCGUGAAGGCCUUCAAGAUGACAUCAAGCUCGCACUUCUAGUGCAUGACUUUGCCGAUUUCGCCGCCUUGGUGAACAAGGCCAUCAAUGUUGAGACUGGUCUUCAAGAACACCAUAGCUCUCAAAGGCGCAACCGUGACACGGGCUCAUCUUCGGGCCCGCCCUCGCAGAAGCGUAAGAUAUGGAUCCCGAACAGCAUGUACCGUCCAAAUGCACCAGCCCUAAGGCAGUCUUACGCUGCACCUCGUCUGCCUACUGCUCCAACUAGGCUGCCAAGGCUUCCAGCUCCGCCACCCCAAGCUCCUGUUCCCACUCCCAAUAAUGGCCUGUGCUACAAGUGUGGUCAACCAGGUCACCUUGCCAGGAACUGCUAUCAGAAUCAAAAACAGAAUCAACUGGCCCUUCCAGCUACUGGCCGUGGAAACAACCAGGCCCACAACAACAUUGCCAAGUCUUAUGGCCGUGUUCAUGCCAACCACAUUGAUCUGAAUGAAGCUCAAGACCAGCCUGCUACUGUGAUGGGUACACUCCUCGUAAAUUCAGUACCAGCAUCCGUUUUAUUUGAUACAGGUGCAUCGCAUUCAUUCAUGUCAGAAGAAUUUGCAUACAAGCACGAUGUUAAAUUUGAGCAGAUGAACACUUCGGUAGUGGUAAAAAACCCCGCGGGACAAUGUCAGACCUCCAUGGUUGGCAUUGACGUCCCUGUGGAA
This 1095-nucleotide ribosomal RNA is filed under the name Triticum aestivum (bread wheat). Its description in RNAcentral is "partial small subunit ribosomal RNA". Lineage: Eukaryota; Viridiplantae; Streptophyta; Magnoliopsida; Poales; Poaceae. The record is from RNAcentral.